UCUCCGUUAUCCGGAGCAGUCCUCUUAGAGUUCCCCCUUGCGGGUGGCAACUAAGAGUAAGGGUUGCGCUCGUUGCGGGACUUAACCCAACACCUCACGGCACGAGCUGACGACAGCCAUGCAGCACCUCUACUGGAGUCCCUUGCGGGAAGUCCCGAUUUCUCGGAAUGGUCUCCAGCACUUCGAGCCCAGGUAAGGUUCUUCGCGUUGCGUCGAAUUGAACCACAUGUUCCACCGCUUGUGCGGGCCCCCGUCAAUUCCUUUGAGUUUCAGUCUUGCGACCGUACUCCCCAGGCGCAGGACUUAACGCGUUAGCUCCGGGACGCACCCCAAACGAGAUGCACCCCAAGUCCUGAUGGUUUAGGGCUAGGACUAC
This 376-nucleotide unclassified non-coding RNA is filed under the name uncultured Terriglobia bacterium. Its description in RNAcentral is "uncultured Acidobacteriia bacterium contains 16S-23S intergenic spacer region". The record is from RNAcentral. Lineage: Bacteria; Pseudomonadati; Acidobacteriota; Terriglobia.